RNAcentral lists this small nuclear RNA (21 nucleotides) under Arabidopsis thaliana (thale cress). RNAcentral's name for it is "snRNA_02763". Lineage: Eukaryota; Viridiplantae; Streptophyta; Magnoliopsida; Brassicales; Brassicaceae. The record is from RNAcentral.
AAGCGUCGUUCGGACCGCCUU